ACUUAUAUCACAGGGUAGUAGUAAAAAACAAAACUCCUAAAACUUGGCGGUUAUAAUUUUCUAAAGAAACUUGUUUUAUAAUAGACAAUACACUUUAAUUCUAACUUUAUACUAAAAUUUAUAUACCGCCGUAAUAGAAAUAAAAUAAACCAAAUUCCCAAAUUAAAACACUCAAAAAAUCAGGUCAAGGUGUAAUCAAUUAUAAAGAAUAAAUUAGUUACACAUAAUAAAAAAUUAAGAAACUAUGAUCUAAAGACAUAAAGAAAAAGAAUUUAUAAAUAAUUAAUAAUUAAUARUUAUUACUGAAAAUUUAUAUUAUAAUGC
Molecule: ribosomal RNA, 324 nt
Filed under: Carapoia sp. Br16-73
Lineage: Eukaryota; Metazoa; Arthropoda; Arachnida; Araneae; Pholcidae
Description: partial 12S ribosomal RNA
Source: RNAcentral